UACAGAGGGUGCGAGCGUUAAUCGGAAUUACUGGGCGUAAAGGGCGAGUAGGUUGUUUUUUAAGUUGGAUGUGAAAUGUCUGGGCUUAACCUGGAUUAGUCAUUCAAAACUGGAAGACUAGAGUACGGUAGAGGGUAGCGGAAUUUCCGGUGUAGCGGUGAAAUGCGUAGAUAUCGGAAGGAACAUCAGUGGCGAAGGCGGCUACCUGGACUGAUACUGACACUGAGUCGCGAAAGCGUGGGUAGCAAACAGG
Molecule: ribosomal RNA, 253 nt
Filed under: uncultured bacterium
Lineage: Bacteria
Description: partial 16S ribosomal RNA
Rfam family: Bacterial small subunit ribosomal RNA
Source: RNAcentral